GAAAUUCGAUUAACGCGAAGAACCUUACCAAGGCUUGACAUACACGAGAACGGGCCAGAAAUGGUCAACUCUUUGGACACUCGUGAACAGGUGGUGCAUGGUUGUCGUCAGCUCGUGUCGUGAGAUGUUGGGUUAAGUCCCGCAACGAGCGCAACCCUCGUUCUAUGUUGCCAGCGCGUAAUGGCGGGAACUCAUAGGAGACUGCCGGGGUCAACUCGGAGGAAGGUGGGGAUGACGUCAAAUCAUCAUGCCCCUUAUGUCUUGGGCUUCACGCAUGCUACAAUGGCCGGUACAAAGGGCUGCAAUACCGUAAGGUGGAGCGAAUCCCAAAAAGCCGGUCUCAGUUCGGAUUGAGGUCUGCAACUCGACCUCAUGAAGUCGGAGUCGCUAGUAAUCGCAGAUCAGCA
Molecule: ribosomal RNA, 407 nt
Filed under: uncultured bacterium
Lineage: Bacteria
Description: bacterial SSU rRNA
Rfam family: Bacterial small subunit ribosomal RNA
Source: RNAcentral